Molecule: ribosomal RNA, 525 nt
Filed under: uncultured bacterium
Lineage: Bacteria
Description: bacterial SSU rRNA
Rfam family: Bacterial small subunit ribosomal RNA
Source: RNAcentral
AGUAAAUAGAUACCCCGGUAGUCCACGCCGUAAACGAUGUCGACUUGGAGGUUGUGCCCUUGAGGCGUGGCUUCCGGAGCUAAACGCGUUAAAGUCGACCGCCUGGGGAGAACGGCCGCAAGGUUAAAACUCAAAUGAAUUGACGGGGGCCCGCACAAGCGGUGGAGCAUGUGGUUUAAUUCGAUGCAACGCGAAGAACCUUACCUACUCUUGACAUCCAGAGAACUUAGCAGAGAUGCUUUGGUGCCUUCGGGAACUCUGAGACAGGUGCUGCAUGGCUGUCGUCAGCUCGUGUUGUGAAAUGUUGGGUUAAGUCCCGCAACGAGCGCAACCCUUAUCCUUUGUUGCCAGCGGUUAGGCCGGGAACUCAAAGGAGACUGCCAGUGAUAAACUGGAGGAAGGUGGGGAUGACGUCAAGUCAUCAUGGCCCUUACGAGUAGGGCUACACACGUGCUACAAUGGCGCAUACAAAGAGAAGCGACCUCGCGAGAGCAAGCGGACCUCAUAAAGUGCGUCGUAGUCCGG